This 68-nucleotide transfer RNA is filed under the name Pasiphila chloerata. RNAcentral's name for it is "tRNA-Asp". The record is from RNAcentral. Lineage: Eukaryota; Metazoa; Arthropoda; Insecta; Lepidoptera; Geometridae.
AAAGAAUUAGUUAAUCUAAAUAACAUAAAUAUGUCAAAUUUAAAUUAUUACUAAAGUAAUAUUCUUUU